Molecule: long non-coding RNA, 975 nt
Organism: Cyanistes caeruleus (blue tit)
Lineage: Eukaryota; Metazoa; Chordata; Aves; Passeriformes; Paridae
Source: Ensembl
AUGGUGUGUUGUGUUUGUAUUCCCAUCUCGAGCAGCAGUGACUCAGGACCAAGUCAUCCCUUUACAGGAAUUACCUACAAAGGAAACCGGAGCCUCCACGGCAUCUCUCUGUCAUCCCUCUCUCCAGAUGGUGCCUCUAAAUCCCUUCUGAAGGCGAUUGUGCAAACCAGCAUCACAACAAGAAAUGUUCACAGCUUCAACCAGUGGAAAUUAAUACCAGCGACAGAAAUCCUAUCACUGGAGCCAUGGAGGAAGACACACACUCCAGGUAAGACAGUAUUAUAAUGAUUUUAUGUACUGUAAAUCUUUUAAUCUGGACUCUCACAAUUGAGCCAUGGGGUUCUGUCCUCUGGGAAAUAAGAGUUGCUUUAUAUCAGUUGGAUACCACAUACUCUUAAUGCACUGCAAGCUGAACAACAUGUCUUACACCCUGUCCUAGUGAUAGUGAAAUAUAUUAGCUUAGAUCAUUCUCCUUGCCUAGGGAACCUGAAAAAAAAGGCAUUUCAGGAGGAAAAGUUCAGUGGAGCUUUCUGAAAUGCUUUACUAGAAAGGUACAGCCCAUCCUUUACUUAUUAUGUCAUUAUAAGGCACUCUGAGGUUUUUUGGAAGUAGGUACUUGUUACUCAUAAUCAUCACAUACCUGUCCUUGGGAUACAGUUCUUUUAUCCAAUUUUCUUGUUCCACUCCCCACAUUUCUGGGGUUCUGUGAUUUUUUUCUUCUUCCUAACAGAUGUAGCAAGAACCUUAUGUGCUCACCACUUUCUUUUUUAAUUUCUUAGAAGUGUUGAAGUUUUUGUUCACAGAACACUGAAUGAGAAUUAAAUUUUUCUGUUAAAAAAAUACCACAGCUUUUCAAAUAUGUCAUUUUUAUGUGACUAUUUUAAAGUUAUGCAGAUGGCAAAAAAAAUUGGAGGAAUCAGCCAUGGGAUUUGUUUGAUUUUCUGAAACAACUGUUGCUUAGUUUGUGAGGCAAUG